CUACGGGCGGCAGCAGUGAGGAAUAUUGCACAAUGGGGGGAACCCUGAUGCAGCAACGCCGCGUGGAGGAUGACGCAUUUCGGUGCGUAAACUCCUUUUAUAUGUCAAGAAAAUGACGGUAGCAUAUGAAUAAGCACCGGCUAACUCCGUGCCAGCAGCCGCGGUAAUACGGAGGGUGCAAGCGUUACUCGGAAUCACUGGGCGUAAAGGACGCGUAGGCGGGUUGGAAAGUCAGGUGUGAAAUCCUACAGCUUAACUGUAGAACUGCACUUGAAACUUCUAAUCUAGAGGAUGGGAGGGGGAGAUGGAAUUAGUGGUGUAGGGGUAAAAUCCGUAGAUAUCACUAGGAAUACCUAAAGCGAAGGCGAUCUCCUGGAACAUUACUGACGCUAAGGCGUGAAAGCGUGGGGAGCAAACAGGAUUAGAUACCCGGGUAGUC
Molecule: ribosomal RNA, 439 nt
Filed under: uncultured bacterium
Lineage: Bacteria
Description: partial 16S ribosomal RNA
Rfam family: Bacterial small subunit ribosomal RNA
Source: RNAcentral